AGUGAACGCUGGCGGCAGGCCUAACACAUGCAAGUCGAACGGACGCACAGUAAGCGCUCGCUCUUACCGGUAGCGACUGGCGGAUGGGUGAGGCGUACAUCGGCAUCUUCUUUUUCGUGGGGGAUAACGUGGGGACACUUCCGAUAAUACCGCAUACGACCUACGGGUGAAAGCAGUGGAGAUUCGGACCUUGCCCGAUUCUAUUAGCCGAUGUCGGAUUAGCUAGUUGGCGGGGUAAAGGCACACCAAGGCGACGAUACGUAGCUGGUCUGAGAGGAUGAUCAGCCACACUGGAACUGAGACACGGUCCAGACUCCUACGGGAGGCAGCAGUAGGGAAUAUUGGACAAUGGGCGCAAGCCUGACGGAGCCAUACCGCGUGAGUGAAGAAGGCCUUCGGAUUGUAAAACCCUGUUGUUGGGGAAGAAAAGCAGCAGAAGAAAACCCCGCUGUUUUGACGGUACCCAAUGAGUAAGCACCGGCUAACUUCGUG
RNAcentral lists this ribosomal RNA (492 nucleotides) under uncultured bacterium. RNAcentral's name for it is "partial 16S ribosomal RNA". It matches the Rfam family "Bacterial small subunit ribosomal RNA", at positions 29 to 507 of the family's 1533-position model. The record is from RNAcentral.